AUGGAGGGUGUUACAGUGUUGAUUGUUGGUGCUGGGCCAGCAGGCCUCGCAACGGCAGCAUGCCUUAGCCUAUUCUCAAUUCCUUAUGCCAUCGUCGAGCGUGAGAGCUGUAGCGCGUCACUCUGGCGCAACCGCGCGUAUGAUCGCCUCAAGCUGCACCUCGCAAAGGAGUUCUGUGAGUUGCCACACAUGCCAUACCCUGUAGAUGCACCAACAUACAUACCAAAAACCUUGUUUGUGAAGUACUUGGAUGACUAUGUUGAGCGUUUCAACAUUCAACCAAAGUAUCUCACCAGCGUGGAGUCAUCCACAUAUGAAAAUGAUGAAAAAUGUUGGUCCAUUGUGGCAAAGGACAUGUCAAAGUGCACCAGAGUCAAGUUCAUGGCGAAGUUUCUUGUUGUGGCAAGUGGUGAGAAUAGUGCAGAGAAUAUUCCAAUGUUCCCUGGACUGGAAAACUUUCCAGGUGAUGUUAUCCACUCCUCAAGCUACAAGUCAGGCAAGAGCUACUCUGGCAAGAAUGUAUUGGUCAUUGGAUCUGGCAACUCCGGGAUGGAA
This 555-nucleotide ribosomal RNA is filed under the name Triticum aestivum (bread wheat). RNAcentral's name for it is "partial small subunit ribosomal RNA". Lineage: Eukaryota; Viridiplantae; Streptophyta; Magnoliopsida; Poales; Poaceae. The record is from RNAcentral.